RNAcentral lists this ribosomal RNA (471 nucleotides) under Streptococcus mutans. RNAcentral's name for it is "bacterial SSU rRNA". It matches the Rfam family "Bacterial small subunit ribosomal RNA", at positions 28 to 473 of the family's 1533-position model. The record is from RNAcentral. Lineage: Bacteria; Bacillati; Bacillota; Bacilli; Lactobacillales; Streptococcaceae.
GACGAACGCUGGCGGCGUGCCUAAUACAUGCAAGUGGGACGCAAGAGAACACACUGUGCUUGCACACCGUGUUUUCUUGAGUCGCGAACGGGUGAGUAACGCGUAGGUAACCUGCCUAUUAGCGGGGGAUAACUAUUGGAAACGAUAGCUAAUACCGCAUAAUAUUAAUUAUUGCAUGAUAAUUGAUUGAAAGAUGCAAGCGCAUCACUAGUAGAUGGACCUGCGUUGUAUUAGCUAGUUGGUAAGGUAAGAGCUUACCAAGGCGACGAUACAUAGCCGACCUGAGAGGGUGAUCGGCCACACUGGGACUGAGACACGGCCCAGACUCCUACGGGAGGCAGCAGUAGGGAAUCUUCGGCAAUGGACGAAAGUCUGACCGAGCAACGCCGCGUGAGUGAAGAAGGUUUUCGGAUCGUAAAGCUCUGUUGUAAGUCAAGAACGUGUGUGAGAGUGGAAAGUUCACACAGUGAC